This is a long non-coding RNA of Ctenopharyngodon idella (grass carp), 657 nucleotides long. RefSeq lists it as uncharacterized. The record is from RefSeq and is a predicted model, not a curated record. NCBI's taxonomy places the organism in Eukaryota, Metazoa, Chordata, Actinopteri, Cypriniformes, Xenocyprididae. The transcript has 4 exons.
CGCGUCCUGUUUACAUCUCUAGCGUUGAGCAUCCUCGUAUUGCCGACUGUACAAUCGAGUUUAUACUGCAUGGACAUUUCAGACUUUAAAGCACCACCCUAUCAUCACGAUUCCUUCUGGCGAUGUUACUCAGCAGCAGCACUUCCAGACGCAAGUGGGAGCAGAAUUAAAAUGAGAGAGGAAAACUCAUCAGUGAGCAAGAAGGGAAGAUCAAAUGCACCAAUCAAAAGAUGAGGAUACCACUCUGAAGGAAACCUGCCGAGGAAAACAUUGACUCAUCGUUUGAGUUUGUUUGUGUCUGGCAGAGCAGGAGUGUCUAAUGAUAGACAAAAGCAUGAUCAUCAGCUCUGAAUGCAGUGGAUUACAGAGGAUUAGUCAACGUCUUUUGUGUCUUAUCUCAGAUGCGAUGUUAUCAAGGCCCCGGGAAAUGCCAAGGGGGUGUUUGGUAUCUCUGCGGCGGCUGGCUUGAUUUCAGUCACAAAUGGACAGAGUUUCCUCUUCCAUUAGGAGUGAGAGCUGAUACUGAACAACAACAUCAGGGUCCAUUGUCACCAUAUAUCAGCUUCACUGAGGGGCCUGCGCUCUCAGACGAGAUAUUAUCCAGCUGUGGUCUUGGCUACAUGAUUACAGAAAUCAUUUUCUUGUUACUGAAAUAUA